UAACAAGGUUUCCGUAGGUGAACCUGCGGAAGGAUCAUUACCUAGAGUUUGUGGGCUUUGCCCACUGUCUCUUACCCAUGUCUUUUGAGUACUUACGUUUCCUCGGUGGGCUCGCCCGCCGGUUGGACAAUUUAAACCAUUUGCAGUUGCAAUCAGCGUCUGAAAAACAUAAUAGUUACAACUUUCAACAACGGAUCUCUUGGUUCUGGCAUCGAUGAAGAACGCAGCGAAAUGCGAUAAGUAGUGUGAAUUGCAGAAUUCAGUGAAUCAUCGAAUCUUUGAACGCACAUUGCGCCCCUUGGUAUUCCAUGGGGCAUGCCUGUUCGAGCGUCAUUUGUACCUUCAAGCUCUGCUUGGUGUUGGGUGUUUGUCUCGCCUUGCGCGUAGACUCGCCUUAAAACAAUUGGCAGCCGGCGUAUUGAUUUCGGAGCGCAGUACAUCUCGCGCUUUGCACUCAUAACGACGACGUCCAAAAGUACUUUUUACACUCUUGACCUCGGAUCAGGUAGGGAUACCCGCUGAACUUAAGCAUAUGGAGCAAAAGAAACCAACAGGGAUUGCCCUAGUAACGGCGAGUGAAGCGGCAACAGCUCAAAUUUGAAAUCUGGCGUCUUUGGCGUCCGAGUUGUAAUUUGCAGAGGGCGCUUUGGCAUUGGCAGCGGUCCAAGUUCCUUGGAACAGGACGUCACAGAGGGUGAGAAUCCCGUACGUGGUCGCUAGCCUUUACCGUGUAAAGCCCCUUCGACGAGUCGAGUUGUUUGGGAAUGCAGCUCUAAAUGGGAGGUAAAUUUCUUCUAAAGCUAAAUACUGGCCAGAGACCGAUAGCGCACAAGUAGAGUGAUCGAAAGAUGAAAAGCACUUUGGAAAGAGAGUUAAAAAGCACGUGAAAUUGUUGAAAGGGAAGCGCUUGCAGCCAGACUUGCCUGUAGUUGCUCAUCCGGGUUUUUACCCGGUGCACUCUUCUAUAGGCAGGCCAGCAUCAGUUUGGGCGGUUGGAUAAAGGUCUCUGUCAUGUACCUCUCUUCGGGGAGAACUUAUAGGGGAGACGACAUGCAACCAGCCUGGACUGAGGUCCGCGCAUCUGCUAGGAUGCUGGCGUAAUGGCUGUAAGCGGCCCGUCU
This 1121-nucleotide ribosomal RNA is filed under the name Pleosporales sp. CHTAE8. RNAcentral's name for it is "eukaryotic LSU rRNA". The stretch from base 492 to 1121 matches the Rfam family "Eukaryotic large subunit ribosomal RNA", at positions 1 to 654 of the family's 3401-position model. Lineage: Eukaryota; Fungi; Ascomycota; Dothideomycetes; Pleosporales. The record is from RNAcentral.